AUUGAACGCUGGCGGCAUGCCUAACACAUGCAAGUCGAACGGUAACAGGCCCGCAAGGGUGCUGACGAGUGGCAGACGGGUGAGUAAUACGUAGGAAUCUGCCCUGUAGUGGGGGAUAGCCCGGCGAAAGCCGGACUAAUACCGCAUACGCUCUACGGAGGAAAGCGGGGGAUCGCAAGACCUCGCGCUAUUGGAUGAGCCUACGUCUGAUUAGCUAGUUGGUAGGGUAACGGCCUACCAAGGCGACGAUCAGUAGCUGGUCUGAGAGGAUGAUCAGCCACACCGGAACUGAGACACGGUCCGGACUCCUACGGGAGGCAGCAGUGGGGAAUAUUGGACAAUGGGGGAAACUCUGAUCCAGCAAUGCCGCGUGUGUGAAGAAGGCCUGCGGGUUGUAAAGCACUUUUGUUGGGGAAGAAAAGCCGUCGGCGAAUAUCCGGCGGUCUUGACGGUACCCAAAGAAUAGGCACCGGCUAACUCCGUGCCAGCAGCCGCGGUAAUAC
RNAcentral lists this ribosomal RNA (503 nucleotides) under uncultured bacterium. RNAcentral describes it as "bacterial SSU rRNA". It matches the Rfam family "Bacterial small subunit ribosomal RNA", at positions 29 to 526 of the family's 1533-position model. The record is from RNAcentral.